Molecule: long non-coding RNA, 381 nt
Organism: Fopius arisanus
Lineage: Eukaryota; Metazoa; Arthropoda; Insecta; Hymenoptera; Braconidae
Exons: 2
Source: RefSeq, a predicted model, not a curated record
GCCUCCAUCACAAAGCGGACAUUAUAAUCUUUAUAAACCUCGAAUACGUAAUUUCUGAUUUCACGAUGAAAUCCUUGAUUUUAAUAUUUGCAAUUCUCUCAAUCGCUGUUCUGGUUUCGUCCACGGCGAUCCCUGAUGAAGGAAACAAUGUCCUUGUCGUGGGCAGUCCGGAGGAUUUGGAGGGCCUUUCGAGACAGCAACGCGGCAUCGGAGACUUUUUCAAGAAAAUAUUCGGUUUCUUCGGCAGAAAACGCUAACGAUUGAACCCAUCCCACUAAUUAAUUCAUUUACACUUUGAAAUUGAAAACGUUACACGGUUGUAAUCUAAUUGCAGUAAUUUUUAAUAAAUUUUGAAUGACAUCUCUGUAUUUCUUGCAUAAA